This is a small nucleolar RNA of Nycticebus coucang (slow loris), 75 nucleotides long. RefSeq annotates it as small nucleolar RNA SNORD81. The transcript has a single exon. The record is from RefSeq and is a predicted model, not a curated record. Lineage: Eukaryota; Metazoa; Chordata; Mammalia; Primates; Lorisidae.
CAGAUACAUGAUGAUCUCUGCCUCAGUUUGAGCUCUCACUGGUUAUUUGAUGACAACAAAAGAUCUGAUAUUCUG